CAGAGAAAGGCAAAUGCCUCCUCUGUACCCCCUGAAAUCAACAGCAUGGACAAACUUGUCAAAUUGCUUUGACCUUUGCUCAGCUGCUUACCAGGCUGGGCUGCAAUGAGGAAGAUCCCCAAACCCAAUUUAUUCUUCGCAAUUUCCCUGCUGUUACCCUUCCCUACCUGGAAGCAAGACCCAGGAAAACCAGCCCAUUUCCCAGACUUUCCCUGAGUGAUUGCAGACACGUGGAGACCUGCAGGAACAGAACUGAGCAGGAAAGGGCAUCUGUGGCCUCAGAUGCUGCACAAGGGAAACCACACACCUACUGCUAAGGAAGUGCUAAGGCCGGUGGGUUGUUUAUUGAAAGCACAGGUGGAGGCAAGGAGAGGAAGCACAUCGCCAGGUAGGUGUUGCAGCACAAAAACCUGAGCACUGACCAAAUCCAAAGGAGCACAUCAGCAGAGAGACCGCUUGAGAACAUCAGGGAAAGAGCUGGAAGACUGCUGUUGUUCAAUAUUCCAUCCCUUCCUAAAUGAAAACCCCUCGUUUUAGGGGACAACAACUUCUGACAAACUAUCACCAGAGGAAGGAUGGAAGCACCCUACAUUCACACUACAAUUCCUAACGCUUGUUCAGGAGAUUCAGCCACCAUACCCCACAGAUGCUGACCCCAGCACCCCUUUGGGGUGAGGAAGGCUCCCUGUGAAGCUACAGCACGCAGGCACCCCAGGAGGGACGGCAGCACCCAGAUGACACCUGUGGCAGAGCCACGAGCAUCGCUCACUGCCCAGAGCACGGUUACACGGCUCCAGGCACUCCGCAGGCGCUGUCAUUGUCCCCCUCUCCCCACAGGACUGGGGGCAGAAACAGCGCCGGGUGUCUCCCCCCCCCCGCAAGCCCGGCCCACCUCGGGCCCGGCUGGAAGCAGGUCCAGGCCCGAAUGGCUCCAGGCCGGGCUCCUGCCGCCCCCUGGCGGCGCCGGGCGGGCAGGGCAGGGCCGGGCCUCGCCGCCUCCCCACUGGCGCUUCCCGCCCCAUUUUCUCCCUGGUCCUUGUAUGCUUCAAGUCAGUUUCUUGCAGAAGCGUCAGACCUCUUUUCCUGAUCUGAAUUAACUCAUUUUCCGUCCUCCCCCCGUACUAGUGCUGACUCUGAUCUCACUGGGGAUUUCCUCAGAAAGCUUCAUUCUCGGCCUGUUUGCUUCAGGCUCAAAAAUCAGCAAGUUCAGCCAGCCCUUGUUGCUUUAAGCUGUGUAGCAACCUCUUAGCCCACCAGCCACCACCUCCUAAAACCCCUUUAGGUUCACUUUGGAGUCCAGUUUUGCCACCCACCACAAAAGCACCACAGCCCCCCUACCCCAUAGCUCCCUGCAGGCAGGGACUUACCUGGGCCACAGCAGCACCAGCAAGAGAAGGCACCUCCAGUCCCCCUCGUUCACUUCCAAGUUUUUCUUCAUAUCACCCCCAAACCUCCCAUGCUCUGCCUGAAAUACCUCUCCCCCUAGAGAAGCCCAAGUGCCCAGCAGUGACCACCCCAGCUCAA
Long non-coding RNA from Oxyura jamaicensis (ruddy duck), 1524 nucleotides. RefSeq lists it as uncharacterized. The transcript has 2 exons. NCBI's taxonomy places the organism in Eukaryota, Metazoa, Chordata, Aves, Anseriformes, Anatidae. The record is from RefSeq and is a predicted model, not a curated record.